GAUGAACGCUGGCGGCGUGCCUAAUACAUGCAGGUCGAGCGAACGGACGAGAAGCUUGCUUCUCUGAUGUUAGCGGCGGACGGGUGAGUAACACGUGGAUAACCUACCUAUAAGACUGGGAUAACUUCGGGAAACCGGAGCUAAUACCGGAUAAUAUUUUGAACCGCAUGGUUCAAAAGUGAAAGACGGUCUUGCUGUCACUUAUAGAUGGAUCCGCGCUGCAUUAGCUAGUUGGUAAGGUAACGGCUUACCAAGGCAACGAUGCAUAGCCGACCUGAGGGGGUGAUCGGCCACACUGGAACUGAGACACGGUCCAGACUCCUACGGGAGGCAGCAGUAGGGAAUCUUCCGCAAUGGGCGAAAGCCUGACGGAGCAACGCCGCGUGAGUGAUGAAGGUCUUCGGAUCGUAAAACUCUGUUAUUAGGGAAGAACAUAUGUGUAAGUAACUGUGCACAUCUUGACGGUACCUAAUCAGAAAGCCACGGCUAACUACGUG
RNAcentral lists this ribosomal RNA (497 nucleotides) under uncultured bacterium. RNAcentral describes it as "partial 16S ribosomal RNA". It matches the Rfam family "Bacterial small subunit ribosomal RNA", at positions 28 to 507 of the family's 1533-position model. The record is from RNAcentral.